UCCCCACGGCGUGCUGGCAGAGGGGACCGCAGCGAGCGCAGAGCCCCUCACACUCCAUUCAAAGCUCUCCUUAAAAGCCCUGCCAGCUAUUUGGCAUAUGAAGGUCCUGACCUGGGAAAACCAUCUCGGAUAACCACGCAAGGAGAAGGAAAAAUGCAACACCUAGGAGAUUUCAGUAAACAGUAGAAUCAUGCCAACCUAAUCUGUGUUAAAAUGCUUGGAAUGUGGGAGCCGCCGAUGAUGCCUGUUGUCUGUGUGUCUGACUGAAUCCUUUCUUUUCUCAGAGCAGCAAAGCCAAGCCUGGGAACCAGGCCAAAUGCCUGCCACUUACCUUAAAUUGAUCAGCCACUUUGAGAUUAAAACCCCUGAAAGCUGCCACACCGUGAAAACAAGGCCUCCUUCACAUUAAAGGCAAAUUGCGACUUUG
Molecule: long non-coding RNA, 427 nt
Organism: Nyctereutes procyonoides (raccoon dog)
Lineage: Eukaryota; Metazoa; Chordata; Mammalia; Carnivora; Canidae
Exons: 2
Source: RefSeq, a predicted model, not a curated record